Molecule: ribosomal RNA, 301 nt
Filed under: uncultured bacterium
Lineage: Bacteria
Description: partial 16S ribosomal RNA
Rfam family: Bacterial small subunit ribosomal RNA
Source: RNAcentral
CAGCCGCCGCGGUAAUACGGAGGAUCCAAGCGUUAUCCGGAAUCAUUGGGUUUAAAGGGUCCGUAGGCGGUCUUGUAAGUCAGUGGUGAAAGCCCAUCGCUCAACGGUGGAACGGCCAUUGAUACUGCAGGACUUGAAUUAUUGGGAAGUAACUAGAAUAUGUAGUGUAGCGGUGAAAUGCUUAGAGAUUACAUGGAAUACCAAUUGCGAAGGCAGGUUACUACCAAUUGAUUGACGCUGAUGGACGAAAGCGUGGGUAGCGAACAGGAUUAGAUACCCCGGUAGUCCCUGUCUCUUAUAU